GGGUUGUGAGGUUAAGCGACUAAGCGUACACGGUGGAUGCCCUGGCAGUCAGAGGCGAUGAAGGACGUGCUAAUCUGCGAUAAGCGUCGGUAAGGUGAUAUGAACCGUUAUAACCGGCGAUUUCCGAAUGGGGAAACCCAGUGUGUUUCGACACACUAUCAUUAACUGAAUCCAUAGGUUAAUGAGGCGAACCGGGGGAACUGAAACAUCUAAGUACCCCGAGGAAAAGAAAUCAACCGAGAUUCCCCCAGUAGCGGCGAGCGAACGGGGAGCAGCCCAGAGCCUGAAUCAGUGUGUGUGUUAGUGGAAGCGUCUGGAAAGGCGCGCGAUACAGGGUGACAGCCCCGUACACAAAAAUGCACAUAUUGUGAGCUCGAUGAGUAGGGCGGGACACGUGGUAUCCUGUCUGAAUAUGGGGGGACCAUCCUCCAAGGCUAAAUACUCCUGACUGACCGAUAGUGAACCAGUACCGUGAGGGAAAGGCGAAAAGAACCCCGGCGAGGGGAGUGAAAAAGAACCUGAAACCGUGUACGUACAAGCAGUGGGAGCACGCUUAGGCGUGUGACUGCGUACCUUUUGUAUAAUGGGUCAGCGACUUAUAUUCUGUAGCAAGGUUAACCGAAUAGGGGAGCCGAAGGGAAACCGAGUCUUAACUGGGCGUUAAGUUGCAGGGUAUAGACCCGAAACCCGGUGAUCUAGCCAUGGGCAGGUUGAAGGUUGGGUAACACUAACUGGAGGACCGAACCGACUAAUGUUGAAAAAUUAGCGGAUGACUUGUGGCUGGGGGUGAAAGGCCAAUCAAACCGGGAGAUAGCUGGUUCUCCCCGAAAGCUAUUUAGGUAGCGCCUCGUGAAUUCAUCUCCGGGGGUAGAGCACUGUUUCGGCAAGGGGGUCAUCCCGACUUACCAACCCGAUGCAAACUGCGAAUACCGGAGAAUGUUAUCACGGGAGACACACGGCGGGUGCUAACGUCCGUCGUGAAGAGGGAAACAACCCAGACCGCCAGCUAAGGUCCCAAAGUCAUGGUUAAGUGGGAAACGAUGUGGGAAGGCCCAGACAGCCAGGAUGUUGGCUUAGAAGCAGCCAUCAUUUAAAGAAAGCGUAAUAGCUCACUGGUCGAGUCGGCCUGCGCGGAAGAUGUAACGGGGCUAAACCAUGCACCGAAGCUGCGGCAGCGACGCUUAUGCGUUGUUGGGUAGGGGAGCGUUCUGUAAGCCUGUGAAGGUGUGCUGUGAGGCAUGCUGGAGGUAUCAGAAGUGCGAAUGCUGACAUAAGUAACGAUAAAGCGGGUGAAAAGCCCGCUCGCCGGAAGACCAAGGGUUCCUGUCCAACGUUAAUCGGGGCAGGGUGAGUCGACCCCUAAGGCGAGGCCGAAAGGCGUAGUCGAUGGGAAACAGGUUAAUAUUCCUGUACUUGGUGUUACUGCGAAGGGGGGACGGAGAAGGCUAUGUUGGCCGGGCGACGGUUGUCCCGGUUUAAGCGUGUAGGCUGGUUUUCCAGGCAAAUCCGGAAAAUCAAGGCUGAGGCGUGAUGACGAGGCACUACGGUGCUGAAGCAACAAAUGCCCUGCUUCCAGGAAAAGCCUCUAAGCAUCAGGUAACAUCAAAUCGUACCCCAAACCGACACAGGUGGUCAGGUAGAGAAUACCAAGGCGCUUGAGAGAACUCGGGUGAAGGAACUAGGCAAAAUGGUGCCGUAACUUCGGGAGAAGGCACGCUGAUAUGUAGGUGAAGCGACUUGCUCGUGGAGCUGAAAUCAGUCGAAGAUACCAGCUGGCUGCAACUGUUUAUUAAAAACACAGCACUGUGCAAACACGAAAGUGGACGUAUACGGUGUGACGCCUGCCCGGUGCCGGAAGGUUAAUUGAUGGGGUCAGCGCAAGCGAAGCUCUUGAUCGAAGCCCCGGUAAACGGCGGCCGUAACUAUAACGGUCCUAAGGUAGCGAAAUUCCUUGUCGGGUAAGUUCCGACCUGCACGAAUGGCGUAAUGAUGGCCAGGCUGUCUCCACCCGAGACUCAGUGAAAUUGAACUCGCUGUGAAGAUGCAGUGUACCCGCGGCAAGACGGAAAGACCCCGUGAACCUUUACUAUAGCUUGACACUGAACAUUGAGCCUUGAUGUGUAGGAUAGGUGGGAGGCUUAGAAGUGUGGACGCCAGUCUGCAUGGAGCCGACCUUGAAAUACCACCCUUUAAUGUUUGAUGUUCUAACGUUGACCCGUAAUCCGGGUUGCGGACAGUGUCUGGUGGGUAGUUUGACUGGGGCGGUCUCCUCCUAAAGAGUAACGGAGGAGCACGAAGGUUGGCUAAUCCUGGUCGGACAUCAGGAGGUUAGUGCAAUGGCAUAAGCCAGCUUGACUGCGAGCGUGACGGCGCGAGCAGGUGCGAAAGCAGGUCAUAGUGAUCCGGUGGUUCUGAAUGGAAGGGCCAUCGCUCAACGGAUAAAAGGUACUCCGGGGAUAACAGGCUGAUACCGCCCAAGAGUUCAUAUCGACGGCGGUGUUUGGCACCUCGAUGUCGGCUCAUCACAUCCUGGGGCUGAAGUAGGUCCCAAGGGUAUGGCUGUUCGCCAUUUAAAGUGGUACGCGAGCUGGGUUUAGAACGUCGUGAGACAGUUCGGUCCCUAUCUGCCGUGGGCGCUGGAGAACUGAGGGGGGCUGCUCCUAGUACGAGAGGACCGGAGUGGACGCAUCACUGGUGUUCGGGUUGUCAUGCCAAUGGCACUGCCCGGUAGCUAAAUGCGGAAGAGAUAAGUGCUGAAAGCAUCUAAGCACGAAACUUGCC
RNAcentral lists this ribosomal RNA (2781 nucleotides) under Escherichia coli. RNAcentral's name for it is "partial 23S ribosomal RNA". It matches the Rfam family "Bacterial large subunit ribosomal RNA". The record is from RNAcentral. Lineage: Bacteria; Pseudomonadati; Pseudomonadota; Gammaproteobacteria; Enterobacterales; Enterobacteriaceae.